CAUCACAGAAUUGUUUUUACUG
Molecule: microRNA, 22 nt
Filed under: Aedes aegypti (yellow fever mosquito)
Lineage: Eukaryota; Metazoa; Arthropoda; Insecta; Diptera; Culicidae
Description: aae-miR-11901
Source: miRBase by way of RNAcentral